GAAAAUGUGGUAUAAGGUUUAUACUAUACGAUUGCAAAUCGAUAUACUAAGGGUUCAAUUCCCUUCAUUUUCU
The sequence is a transfer RNA, 73 nucleotides long. It matches the Rfam family "tRNA". Rfam says of the family: Transfer RNA (tRNA) molecules are approximately 80 nucleotides in length. Their secondary structure includes four short double-helical elements and three loops (D, anti-codon, and T loops). Further hydrogen bonds mediate the characteristic L-shaped molecular structure. tRNAs have two regions of fundamental functional importance: the anti-codon, which is responsible for specific mRNA codon recognition, and the 3' end, to which the tRNAs corresponding amino acid is attached (by aminoacyl-tRNA synthetases). tRNAs cope with the degeneracy of the genetic code in two manners: having more than one tRNA (with a specific anti-codon) for a particular amino acid; and 'wobble' base-pairing, i.e. permitting non-standard base-pairing at the 3rd anti-codon position.